RNAcentral lists this long non-coding RNA (936 nucleotides) under Homo sapiens (human). Its description in RNAcentral is "HSALNT0297475". The record is from RNAcentral. Lineage: Eukaryota; Metazoa; Chordata; Mammalia; Primates; Hominidae.
CUUGAUCUGAGCCUGGCCAGAGCCUGUGGGUUGAAGACUUAGAGAACUCUCAGAAGAAGAAGAUCUUAAGACUCUGAAAAGCAAGCAAUGGAAGGAAAUACGAGGGAAAUUGACAUCAGACAUCAGAAAGUAAUUCGUGCCUAGGAUGCAGGUGGAAUCUUCUGCUUUGAAGCAUACCCUGUGGCAACGCGACCUCCCUGGGAACCUCUCCUAUCUACCUUCAGUCCCUAUGCAUCCGCUUCCUCCCAAUUCCUCUUGCCCUCACUCAUCAUAAGCAUAUGAGGAGGCUUUGGGAGGACAGUCUUAGUUGGAACAAGGGAAUAGGUAAAGGAGGAGCAGGGAGGAAGCAACAUGAAGACCGAAGGAGGGAAUAUGUUUAUAGCCAGAAUGGAAACUCAGUACUGCAGCCACAGAGACAAAGGAUUUUCAGGCUGUAGAGACCAGAGAAUGCUUGUCCUGGGAUGUGUGAGAGAUGGUUCCCAGAGAGACGCCUGGAAAUCAGAGACAAGGGUCAGCGAUGUUGGCAGAUGAGGAAACUGAGGCUAGGAGAAGUCAACCACGUCCCCUAGGGGUCACAGAACCAGUCCAUGGCAGAGCCUGGUGUUCUCACCCAGACCUGACUAAUUUGAAGGCUCACGGCCACAGUUUCCCCACAUCCUCUCCUGUGCUAACCUGGAUUACCCACCGCCUGCUCUCAACUGCUGGACUGCAUCAUAUGGUGUCAUCAGUAGAGGGAGGAGUACCAGGGGGUGUGUCUGUGUCUCUCCAGGCCCUAAACUACACAGCUAACCCUCACUAAUCCAAGAGGGUUAAGGAAAUGGGGUGGUGUAAUUCAUCUAACAUUCUGGUCUAAUUAAGCGUUUCCAUGUUUAUCGGGGCAAUCACCAAUUCUAAAAGGAGCAAAUGCAACGAAAUACACUCAAUGCUGAAACCUGA